This 178-nucleotide ribosomal RNA is filed under the name uncultured bacterium. Its description in RNAcentral is "partial 16S ribosomal RNA". It matches the Rfam family "Bacterial small subunit ribosomal RNA", at positions 1325 to 1500 of the family's 1533-position model. The record is from RNAcentral.
GCCGGAAUUGCUAGUAAUGGCAGGUCAGCAUACUGCCGUGAAUACGUUCCCGGGCCUUGUACACACCGCCCGUCACACCAUGAGAGUUGGGGAUACCCGAAGCCUGUGAGCUAACUAUUUAUAGGAACAGCAGUCGAAGGUAGAAUCAAUGAUUGGGGUGAAGUCGUAACAAGGUACC